RNAcentral lists this ribosomal RNA (553 nucleotides) under uncultured Nitrososphaerota archaeon. RNAcentral's name for it is "bacterial SSU rRNA". It matches the Rfam family "Archaeal small subunit ribosomal RNA", at positions 325 to 879 of the family's 1478-position model. The record is from RNAcentral. Lineage: Archaea; Thermoproteati; Nitrososphaerota.
ACGGGGUGCAGCAGGCGCGAAAACUUUACAAUGCUGGAAACAGCGAUAAGAGAACCUCGAGUGCCGAGAUACAAUCUCGGCUGUCUAGCUGCCUAAAAAGCAGUUGAUAGCAAGGGCCGGGCAAGACCGGUGCCAGCCGCCGCGGUAACACCGGCGGCUCGAGUGGUAACCGCUAUUAUUGGGCCUAAAGCAUCCGUAGCCGGCUCUGCAAGUUUUCGGUUAAAUCCAUUUGCUUAACAAAUGGGCUGCCGAAAAUACUACAUAGCUAGGGAGUGGGAGAGGUAGACGGUAUUCGGUAGGAAGGGGUAAAAUCCUUUGAUUUAUUGAGGACCACCUAUGGCGAAGGCAGUCUACCAGAACACGUUCGACGGUGAGGGAUGAAAGCUGGGGGAGCAAACCGGAUUAGAUACCCGGGUAGUCCCAGCUGUAAACGAUGCAGACUCGGUGAUGCACUGGCUUGUGGCCAGUGCAGUGCCGCAGGGAAGCCGUUAAGUUUGCCGCCUGGGAAGUACGUACGCAAGUAUGAAACUUAAAGGAAUUGGCGGGGGAGCAC